GCUGGCGUAGCUCAGUUGGUAGAGCAUCUGAUUUGUAAUCAGAGGGUCGGGGGUUCGAGUCCCUCCGCCAGCACCA
This 76-nucleotide transfer RNA is filed under the name Alphaproteobacteria bacterium. RNAcentral describes it as "tRNA-Thr". It matches the Rfam family "tRNA". From Rfam's summary of the family: Transfer RNA (tRNA) molecules are approximately 80 nucleotides in length. Their secondary structure includes four short double-helical elements and three loops (D, anti-codon, and T loops). Lineage: Bacteria; Pseudomonadati; Pseudomonadota; Alphaproteobacteria. The record is from RNAcentral.